ACAUGCCAUCAGAUGGGGGCUGCUGUGUGGACAGUAUCAUCAGUUCUGACUCCAACUGUGGACUGGAUGGUGAGGGACACAGCAACAGGGACAGUGGAGAUUUGAGUCUCUGGACCCAAGAGUCUUCAGUAACUGGGACCUGAGCUGAGGCAGCUGAAAUAAAGAGGCAAAGAUCCUACAUCAUCUCCAGGAAUCUUCAUUAGAAGG
Nannospalax galili (Upper Galilee mountains blind mole rat) is the source of this 207-nucleotide long non-coding RNA. RefSeq lists it as uncharacterized. NCBI's taxonomy places the organism in Eukaryota, Metazoa, Chordata, Mammalia, Rodentia, Spalacidae. The transcript is spliced from 2 exons. The record is from RefSeq and is a predicted model, not a curated record.